RNAcentral lists this ribosomal RNA (253 nucleotides) under uncultured bacterium. Its description in RNAcentral is "partial 16S ribosomal RNA". It matches the Rfam family "Bacterial small subunit ribosomal RNA", at positions 524 to 776 of the family's 1533-position model. The record is from RNAcentral.
UACAGAGGGGGCAAGCGUUGUUCGGAAUUACUGGGCGUAAAGGGCGCGUAGGCGGCCCGCUAAGUCGAACGUGAAAUCCCCGAGCUCAACUCGGGAACUGCGUCCGAUACUGGCGGGCUUGAAUCCGGGAGAGGGAUGCGGAAUUCCAGGUGUAGCGGUGAAAUGCGUAGAUAUCUGGAGGAACACCGGUGGCGAAGGCGGGUCUCUGGGCCGACAUUGACGCUGAGGAGCGAAAGCGUGGGGAGCGAACAGG